UUACCCAGGGGCACCUGAUUGGUUGAAGCUACACAGGGAUAGCUGAUUGGUUGAGGUUAUACAGGGAUAACUGAUUAGUUGAGGCUACACAGGGAUAGCUGAUUGGUUGAGGUUACACAGGGGUACUUGAUUGGUUGAGGUUACAUAGGGGUAUCUGAUUGGUCAAGGUAACAUCACGUGUCUUUGUCCCCAUCCUAGGGGAUGCUGGGAAAAUGGUGUCUGGCUUUCAGUUUGGGAAAGCGGAGCUCAUAAAGUUGGAAACACCGUAGAGCAGGAAGGGUAUUGAAAAUGCAUGGAAUAAUACCCUACAGAGCUACACACCAAGGGUUUGGUUUUACACAUAUAAGCCAGUUUGAUGCAUUUGCAGUGUCAUUAGAAGGGCCUCAAAGUGUCUGACUUGUCACAAUGGCUUGCCAGAAAUAUGGGACAGUCGAGUUACUUCUAGGAUAAAGGCAUUAUGUACUAAAGACUCCAGACUUCAUUGGAAUAACAAAAUUCUAGUAUUUAGGAAGUUAUACCAGUUUCUCGAAUCAGAGGACUGGGAAACUGAUUCGUUCAUCUUAUAAACUAUCUGUUUGAACAACUAGUUUGGAGUUGACUUGAGCAUCAUAAACUGGCUCUGUGUAUCCAUAGAGCCUCGAGUCUAGAGCACCCUGAGUUUAAUCUUGUCUCUUUCUGGAUAUCUCUAUAGACUGAGGACCAGCUAGGGUCUGCCACCUCUCUUAGGGUCCUGUGCAUUGUACUAUUGAGAAUGUUUAAUUCAUUUUGACACUUUUCUGGUGUGUUCCAAUGUGUUCAUCUUCCCCACUGACCUGCCACAGGAGUCCUAACUGCUUUGGAAUGAAUUUUAUACCUUAGAAAUCAAGGAAAUCAAGGGGGAAAAAUGCCCUUUAAAAUCUGUGUACAUCUGACUAGAAGUUUUCUAUAAUUCUUUCAUCACAAUGGCCCAAGUUGCAUAGGAAUUACAUAAUCAUCCUUCAGAUGAAGUUGACAAAUUUUGUACAUCUGUCUAAUCCCUUGCAGUAAGUGGACCAGUCAUUUAGUACCAGCUAAGGUUUCCUGGUAAAACAUGUUAUUUAUAGCACCACAUACAUGUGCCUUGCAGUGUGGGCAAUGAACAUGACAAAUGCCAGCUGAAUCCUAGAGGCGGAGAUUUCCUUUAACAUGGCCUUGUUUCCUGUUUUGCUGCUGUGUUUACUAAAAGUGUCCCAAGCCUGUCAUUUCAGGAGUGCCUCAUCUGAAAACUCUUUGCCCAGAUAAGCAAGAACUGCGCUGUCUUCUGAGGAGAUUGGUUUCCCUGCAGUGAAGGGCCUGCUGGUUAGAGACCAGGGUUGCCUUUGAGGGUAGAUGGAGCAGAGCAGAAGUGCGAGAGAAAUCCUACCAGGUGGUGGGCAUUUCCUGUGGGCAGCUCACUGUGUGCAGGUUCUUAUCUUAUAACCCCCCUGGAACAUACCGAGUAAGUACUAUGAGCUUCACUUUACAGAGGAGAACUUUAAAUCUCAGGGAAAUUAAAUCACACAAACCCAUGAACUUGGUGAGUGACAGAAUUAGAAUUCAAGUUCAUCUCUGGUUGAUUUCUAAAUCUAGGCUCUUAAUGACUACAUCACCCCAGGCCUCAAAGCUGAAAGGCAGGGAAGGCCAAUUUUAUAGACAUCACCUCGGUUCCUGUGCUAUGAAUGUUCUAGUGUUUGGUUUAAUACUCUCUCUAUUAUCAUCCAUCUUGAAAUUUGUGAUUUUUUUUUUUAAAUACAGGAGGCCCUGCAUUCUCAUUUUGCAAUAAGCCUAGAACUUGUGCAUAUAGUCAUGCCCCAGAGCACUAGCAUUUGCACUUACAAAAUGCCCUUUCUAUAGCUGUUGUGACUUCUCUUAGCUUUCUGGACCCCAAGUGCAGGCUGGAGAGCUCUGCUCUGUGAUGAAGGGCAUUUCCAAGGGCAGGAAAAAGCUGGCUGCAGGUGAAGAAGGGAGUUGGAAGGUGCUCCCUGACAAAUGUUGGCUCUCCCUGGCUCCUGUCCAGUGCCUCUUUCUCUCCACCUGUUCUUCCCUUUCUCCCCAGUUCUGUGUGGUGUGCUGGCCUUGGGUUCAGGUCUCCUGGUUCCAAAGCCCAUGCUCUCCUUGCAAACCCCAUUUAUGGACAGAGAGGUGUGCUGCUUAUUUCCAAAUCUUUUAGCAAAGUUUGAUCAGCCUGCAUUCAUGCUCCCCUCCCCCACGCCCCUAGUCAACAUUUGUGUCUAGCUGGGUGUAUCUGAGCUCAGGAGGAUGUCACUCCAUCCAGAGCUCCCUUCUGAACUCCGCGUGUUUAUUUCCAGAGGCCAACUGGACCAGUGCUCCUGGGAGUUCUGCAGGCACCUUAAGCAAAUCGUCUGCUCUCUUCUAGCUUGUUGUGACCUCAGGGAAAAGUGAACUGUGGGCCAACUCCCCAGCUGAGCAUCUUAAAGUCAUCUCCAGCUCUUAUCACUUAUUCUCAUAUCACUGAGUGUCAUUGAAUCCUAUGGAUUGUUUUCUUCCACAAGAAAAGCCUGAUGAUCCCUUGCCUAUGGCCUCCAUGUGUCCCUUGGCUAUCUCUGAAGGCUUUUCAGUCAUGGUAACUGGUCUCUUUGUCCCAUCAUCUCCCUUUUCCAGGCCAUCCUGCCUGCACUGCCAAGUUAUCCAUUGAUAAAACAAUCCCGAGCAUUCGCUCUCUGGCUUGAAACCGCUGUAAAAUCUCCACGAGUCCCUCAUGGCCACAGGACAAAGUCCAAACACCUUCCACGGCCUGAAUCUAUUCUGCUUUCUCAGCUUUGUCUUUUCUGUCCUGUCCGGGACCCCGUGCCUGAUAAAAAGAUGAGCUCAGUCCCUGCCCUGCUCUUUCUCUACCUUCCUCUUUCCCUUCGGCAUACAUGCACUCUCUUGCCUUUCCACCUUCCACCAUGGGGUGAUGCAAAUGUGGACUACUCAGCCUUGGACUUCCCAACCUUGAGAAGUAUGAGAAAUAAGUUUCUUUUCUUUAAAAUCGCCUAGUCUUUGUCAUUCUGGUAUAGGUUAACAUGAAACUAAAACAUGCUGUCUGCCUUCAAGAAUGACCCUUUUCUGAUUUCUGCCAUCACAAGUUGGUUUUGCCUAUUGUAGAAUUUCAAAUAAAUGGGAUCUUACUGAAUAGACUCUUUUGGAUCUGCCUGCCCUGGCCCCAUAUCAGUCAAGAUUCUCCAUAGCAAUAGUUUAUUCCUCUUUAUAUGUGAGUAGUAUUCUGUUGUUUGAAUGUACCAGAGUUCAUUUGUCCACUUUGUACAUCUGAGUGAGUGAGUGAGUGACCUGGACAGCUCUCAGGGCAUAAGGCAUCCUGCAAACUUGGAGGACAGCAUUGGUGAAAGUUGAAGUGUUCAUUUGGCUUUUAUCAUGGACCCUCAAGAUCCUAGCAUUACUUAUGGUAAAUGUCCCCUGCAGACCCAUUAUUUUCAUUGCUUUGCUUUCUCAACUUCUGAGAGACUGAUGAUUGACACACCUCCCUGCUCCUAGAGGAUCAGCAAAGACGUUUCUGUUCCUGACUUUUAGCCUGUGUGUUGCAAUGGAAGAAAGAUAACCGAGCAUCUUAGGAUCAUGCUCUGAGGCAAGGUCUGAGAGGGUCUCUUUUAUGAGGGUCUUUGAUUUUGGCUCCUUUGCAGUCUUUUUUAUUUUUCUUCCCAUUUAUGCUUCUUAUUCAUGCUCCAGGUGGCUGAAUUGCUCCUGGAUGGCACCCUCUGGGGCCAUUAGGUCUCUGAGCUGCAGGCUCCCCUCUACUAUGAAAGGUCUCCUGUGCCCACGACCUGGCUUGGCUCUUUCUAGCAGCUCUAGCCUCAAUACCUCCCAGGUUCUCCUAACAUCCUUUUGCCUAGGAUUCCCAAACAGAUCCCACACCCCUGCUUCAAUAUUAAAACUCGUCUGUGCCCCUGAGCCGGACUUGGCCUUCUAGGCCUUAACCUUGACCUCAGUGUUGCCUUCUUACUCAUCCUGUCACACCCCUCCUUGGCAUAGACACAUACUAAAGUGAAACUGUGCCCAGGUGCCAGGUUAUGAACCCUGGGAGUGACCACCCGAGCCCUCAUUCCUCCCACCUGCUCACCACCCCCUGACAUGCAGAGCUUUGGCUGUGUACAGUUGCACAAAUGGAAUCCUUUGCCCCACCACAGAACUCUGAAGCUAGAGAUAACAGCCCUGUGGAAGGACAAAGUAGGAUUAAGUAUGAAAAAAUGAAGUGACUUAACCAAGAAGAAGCUGGCCAUCCCCACAGGUCACUCAUGCCACAAUGGGUUCCAAGUCUACUGUCAUUUAAUAAGGCGACCAGCUGUCUCUGCCUGAGCUUCUUCCAGUUUUACCACCAGAAGUCCUGCAUCCUGGGGGAACUCUCAAUGGUGGGCAAAUUGGGAUAAUUCAUCUAAAAUUGAAAAACAGCCUUGGAAACGCAGUCUUCUUUAAUCAAAAGGCACUCUUGCAUUUUGCCUUCCUGAAGAAAUCGUGUUAUUGUAACCUUAACAUGCAUUUAUUAAUCGAAAGGAGGCAAAGUUUUAAAGAGCACAGCUUGUAUAGAGAAUGCCCAUCUGUAGUGUGUUUUCUUUUUUAGUGCAUCAGGGGUUGAUGUAGGUCAGGUUGACAGGGAUCUCACAGGGCUUCUCGCCACCAGGAGCCCAGUUAUUCACGUGUUCACGACUGGGAUUUACCCCGCUGUCAAUUCACUACCACUCUGGCACGGUGUUCCUAGAAUGUAAAUAAUCAAACAGUCUGCACUUGCUGGAGGGGCAUUUACUCAACCUCCCGUACACAGGAAGUGCCAGCUUGGAAGGACUUCUAUUUUGGAAAGUGAAGAAAGCCAAAACAAAGACAGGGAGUGUGUGUGUCCCGGACAAUGGAGAAUGUGGCAUCCUGACCUGGAAAUAGAGGAGAUUUGUGGCUCUUUGCUUCAUGUGUUUUCGAUCUUGGGAGAAAGAUGCUUUAAUUCACUGAGAUUUAGGCUGUUAUGUCAAUAAAAGAAUUUUGUCUCCGGAGAUAAACGGGAAGGAGACCUUCAAGAACAAUUCAGGGGAGACCUUCAAGAACAAUCCUGGAGCAGUCGUGGUAGAGAAGCAGGUAGCAGAAUUAAACGGAGCCGGUCAACAGGUAGGAAUGGCCAGGGCUGGGGCUGGGGCUGGGGAGACGUGAACUUGUGAAAAUUACACCCACUUUCCAGGCAGGAAGGGAUUGUUUUUAGAAAGAAUGAGACAAGAAUCUCAGAGGGCAAGUUCAUCAUGGGCUGAAUGCUUUGGGGGAAGAAGGGGUUACUUAAAUUCUAAACUGAAGGAAAGAGGUACCUAAUGAUAGAUAUACUUCUGAGAAUUGCAUCAUUAGCAGAUUUUUGUCACCAUUGGAGCAUCAUAGAGUGUCCAGACUAAGAUGGCUGCAGUGUCACUGGGCAAUAUAAUCUUAUGGGACCACUGUCAUAUGGGCAGUCCAUUGCUGACUGAAAGGUUACCUGGUGCAUGAAUGUAUAUGAAAGAAGGAGAAAGGGAGGGGUGUGAGUGCAUUUGGGACACCCUAACCUAUGUGCCCAGGUUUCUGACUCCCAAGGUCAAGGGCUUUUUACUCCAGAAGUGCCUCUUGUUUUUGUACUGCCCCCGAUAAAGUGCCGUAAUAAGCACUAAAUAUAUAUGAUUUUACUUGGAUAUGAGAAUUCUUCAUUUCUGUUAAGGACCACAGAGUCCUGCAGCCCUGGGUUCUUCCACUUACCAGUUUGGUGUCCCCAGGCAAUUUUAUGGAACAAGAAACCCUCAGAUUUCUCUUUUGUAUAAUGGGGUAAUGACUGCCUUGUCUAUCUCCAGAUUUGUUGUGAGGAUAAAAAUGAGACUGUAGCUAGGAGCGGUGGUGCAUGCCUGUAACCCCAGUGAUUUGGGAGGCUGGGGCAGGAGGAUCAUAAGUAUGAGGCCUCAAAAUGAAAAAUAAAAGGGGCUGGGAUGUGGCUCAGUGGCUAAGCAUUCCUGGGUUCAAUCCCCAGUACCAAACAAACACCCCCUCCCCCCACAAAUGGGCACUUAACCACUGAGCCACAUCUCCAGCCUUUUUAAAUUUAUUUGUGAAUUUUAAAAAUUUUCAGACAGGGUCUUGCUAGGUUGCUUAGGGCCUCACUAAGUUGUUGAGGCUGGCUUCAAAUUUGUGAUCCUCCUCCCUCAGCCUCCCCUGAGUCACUGGGAUUACAGGCUACAGGCGUGCACCACUGUGCCCAGCCCAGGCCUGAUGUUCUUACAAGAAGUAGAAGAGUCCCCAGAGACCUCUUUCUCUCUCUCCUCAGGUGCACAGAGAAAAGGCCAUGUGCAAACACCAUGAACAGGAGGCCAUCUGAAAGCCAGCAAGACAGACCUCAUCAGAGACCAACCCUGUUGGCAACUUGAUCUUGGACCUCCAGCCCCGAAACCAUGAGAAAAUAAAUUUCUGUUGUUUAAGUCACUCAGUUUGUGGGAUUCGGUUCUGGCAGCCUAAGGACACUCAUGCAUGGGGAACCUAACAUUUAUGCAGCAAAUGAAAUCUUGCAGAAUACUUUCCUGUACGUCUUCUAAAUUUUUAAUAUUUUUUUUUUGCGAAAGGGAUAAAAAGAAUUAUGAAGUUUGUUUUUAUUAAGCAUGCAAAUUUCCUGUAUUCUGAAAUGUUAUUGGGAAUGGGAUCGGAUGUUGUCUUUCUGAUUUGCAUUACAUAAACCAGGUGGAAAUUUUGACCAUUAAGCAGGGUUCCUAAAAGUGCAGUACCCUUGGGAAAAGCUCCUGUGCUUUCUACCCUAAAUCCUUCCCCCUGAAUGUUGUUAGUGUUUUAGGGGACUGAUAAGACUCUUUUUCCCCUCAGCUGAAAUAAUGGUGUGAAAUGCUGGUUUGCAAUAAAAGGAUACAAUCUUGGGGAAAUAAUUCCCAGAAAUACCAAGUGUCCUUCCCAGCUCCCGUCCUGACUUCUUGGAUGACCAAGUCACAGAUGCUCUGCUUCCUUCGUGGUUCCCAGUGGCUUACUUGAGUUCACCUGCCCUUUGUCCCUUCUCUUUCCUCUCUACUGAGUCGUUUCUCUUCCACCCCCACAUAAAAAAUCCUGCCUCUCCCUCAUUUCAGGAAGAACUAUAGAUAGUUGCAGGUAAGAGGCAACUGGAACAAGCAGCCCCCAGAUAAUGUAUAAUGGAGUAACGCCUGCCUUGUCUAUCUCCAGAUUUGUUGUGAGAUAAAAAGUGGGAAUGAAGCUGGGGUGGUGGUGCAUGGUCUCCUGUUCCCUCAACCCACGUAGGUCUUGGAAAGCUAAAAGUGUCACUGUUGUUCUCUCAAGAAUCUAUGCUAGAUUAGACACUUUUGGGGUCACUAAUUCAGUCUUAGGAAAUAAGGUCUUUUUUGGUUCUUUCUUUCUCUUUUUUGCAAUAUGCUAAUCUUACCCUAGUGGGGUAAAUUGCUGUCCUCCAAAGACUUUGAGCAUCUACCUGUCGCCCAUGGACAAAGGCAACUGGUUUUCAGGUCUCUUUAGGAAGGAUCAGGGCCAGGGUGGCCGCAUGUAUUAAGGAGUUGGAGGGUUGGGUAUCCUCAGGGCAGGCGCUGCUCUUCCUUUAUUGUGGUAAAGUAUACAUAACAUAGCAUUUACUGUUUUAGCCAUGUUUAAGCCUGUAGUUCUCUCACUGUUGUGCAACCACCACCACCAUCCAUCUCCAGAACUUUCUCAUCUUCCCAAAUUGAAACUCUGUUACCACACUUUAGCUAUUGUGAUUGUGCUGCUAUAAACAUUUUGAUGUGGCUGUGUCCCUGUAGUAUGCUGUUUUUAAGUCCUUUGGGUAUAGACCAAGGAGUGGGAUAGCUGGGUCAAAUGGUGGUUCCAUUCCCAGUUUUCCAAGGAUUCUCCAUACUGCUUUCCAUAUUGGCCACACCAAUUUGCAGUCCCACCAGCAAUGUAUGAGUGUGCUUUCUUCCCCACAUCCUCGCCAACACUUAUUGUUGUUUGUACUCUUAAUAGCUGCAAUUCUGACUGGAGUGAGAUGAAAUCUUAGAGUAGUUUUGAUUUGCAUUUCUCUGAUUGCUAGAGAUGAUGAACAUUUUUUCAUAUAUUUGUUGAUUGAUUGAAUAUCCUCUUCUGAGAGUGUCUGUUCAGGUCCUUCACCCAUUUAUUGAUUGGGUUAUUUGCUUUUUUUGGUAUUUAGCUUUUUGAGUUUUUUAUAUACCCUAGAGAUUAGUGCUCUAUCUGAUGUGUGAGGGGUAGAAAUUUGCUUCCAAGAUAUAGGGUCUCUAUUCACCUCACAGAUUGUUUCUUUUGCUGAGUAGAAACUCUUUAGUUUGAAUUCAUCCCAUUUAUUAACUCUUGAUUUUAAGUCUUGUGAUGCCCUUCAGUAGAUAAAUAGAUAAAAAUAUGUCAUAUCUACACAAUAGAAUAUUACUCAGGAAUAAAAGAGUAAAAUCAUGGCAUUUACAGAUAAAUGAAUGGAGUUGGAGAAGAUAAUGCUAAGUGAAGUUAGCUAAUCCCAAAAAAACAAAUGCAAAUGUUUUCUCUGAUAUAAGGAGGCUGAUUCAUAGUGGGGUAGGGACGGGGUGCAUGGGAGGAAUAGAUGAAUUCUAGAUAGGGCAGAGGGGUGGGAGGGGGAGAGAGGGGGCAGAGGGUUAGAAAUGUUGGUGGAAUGUGAUGGACAUCAUUAUCCAAAGAACAUCUAUGAAGACAUGAAUUGGUGUGAAUAUACUUUAUAUACAACCAGAAUAUGAAAAAUUAUGCUCUAUAUGUGUAAUACGAAUUGUAAUGUAUUCUGCUG
RNAcentral lists this long non-coding RNA (8734 nucleotides) under Marmota monax (woodchuck). Lineage: Eukaryota; Metazoa; Chordata; Mammalia; Rodentia; Sciuridae. The record is from RNAcentral.